Molecule: non-coding RNA, 2829 nt
Organism: Aegilops tauschii subsp. strangulata
Lineage: Eukaryota; Viridiplantae; Streptophyta; Magnoliopsida; Poales; Poaceae
Source: RefSeq, a predicted model, not a curated record
UGCCUACCAGUAGCACUUUCCCAGUUCCAGUGUGACUCGCGAGCUCGACCGAUCGCGCAAUGGCGGCUCGCGGCGGGAAGGCCCUGGUGCUGGCCAUGCUGAUCUCCUUCCUCGCGGUCCAGGGAACGCUGGGGUCCGAUUUCGCCGCGUGCUACUGCCACCACAACAAAGUGUGCACGAAACAAUGGCCACGCAAGCCGGUGUACUGCAUGAAGAAAAGCCUCGAAGACUGUACCGGCUGGACGUGCUCCAAGAAGCCUCCUUCCGUGAUGCCACUGGCCGAUGCUGUCAACCCCGUUACAGACGAGGGCAGCAUGGCCGUUCCUGCCGGGGGUGCCGAUCAUGGCGAGUUCAACAUCACUGAGGGCAGCAUGGCUGCUCCUGCCGGGGGUGCCGAUCACGGCGACUUCAACACUGCAGAAGAGGAUGCAGCUCCGUGAGGGCUGGGAGAGGCUGGCUGGAGACUUGGAGGACAGACACAGUUUGGCCGCGUGUGUAUGGUAGAACCAAUCGAUUUGCAGAAGAUAGCAUGAACCGGAAGGGUAAUCGGUGCCGCCACCGGAAGGCUCGGCAGUGCUAAUCGCCGGAACUACACUACCGGCAGUGCCAUCCAAAUCCUCGGAGACGCUCAAGGUAUAUACAAUGAACACACAAAGGGGUCCACAUGCAAUUAUCUAAUUAUUGGAUGCAUCAGAUUAACGUGCUGAAUGAAUCACAUGUGUAUACUUGAGACAAAUGAAUGUAUUAAUGGUUAGUAAUUUUUUUAUCUAUCCUUUUUACAUGUCCUCGAGGGUGACCAUAGUAGCAUCUUGAGCCCAAAUACAGUCCUGCCAUCUAACGCCGCCUGUAAUUUUUUAGCUACAGGAAUUUGGACCGUCUUGCAAGAAGAAUCAGUUGAGAAGAUUGGACUAUGCUACUUCUCUAAGGCUGAGUAUACACUCUUUGUUGUUAAUUGUAGUGAUAGUUACUAUUAUUGAAUUGCUAAGGUGACAAACUGACAGUUAUUGCUUGAUGAGCUUACUCUUGUUCAUCACAUUGCAUCCCUCUUACACGGGAAUCAUCAAAUGUUCACACAUAUGUAUGUCCUUUAGUUGUCAUUUGCUCUUUUUUAUUUCUUCUUCCCUUUUUUGUGUGGAUAAUCCAAUUUCUUAUGUUGUCAAUGGAUCUUAAACAUCUUCACUUCUGAUUUCUAUUUCAAACAGACAGUGCAGCUUUGACGGCCUCUUAUUUCAUGCCGACAAGUGUAUUUUGUUCCAUUAGAAAUAUAUAACUAUAUUUUAUUCCUGAGAGAGCAAUCUUAUACGGGAAUAUAGUGUUGUAUUUUGUGCACCCUCAUUUGGCAAGAGUUCAGGUUACUAUUUGUCUCUGUGUGAAAGUUCUCACAUUAGUUCAUGCAGAAUAUGUCUAUAUUUUUACCAAGGGGUUCCAAUGAUUCGAGGACUGCAUAUGUGCAGAUCUAGAAACUCUUUCUUCCCAAGAUGGGCAAUGUGCAGAUCUAGAAAUGGUAUGUCCCCUAUGCGUGUAUGACUGUUGGUGGAGAUGUUCAUACUUUAGGAUCUUUGGUUCCUGAGUUAGUGAGGUGCAUGCUCUCGACCCUGACAUCUACUUACUCUAUUGUCAUCUAUAGUCUGUAUUGUGCUCUGCGCUUAAUGUGCAUUGGGUGCAUAGCAGAACAUGAAUUUCAGAUGCCCUUAUUUGUUUGAUGAAAUGCCUCCUUGAUCUGCAUGCCAGGUAUUAUAGCAUACUGUAUAUGGCUUCUAAGCUCUUUGAAAGUUUAGGACACAAUAGGAAGUCAUAUUACAGCGGUUUCCGAUUAAUAACAAAGCUGAAAGCACAAUCUCUAUUUUUCGAGGACAGCAAAAUUGUUUUCUAGAACUGAUAGUUUCUUCGGUAUUUUUUUGUUUGCUUUCUGUUACUUUAUAACUGAAUAUGAAUAUGCAGUUAGCUUAUUUUUCUUUUAUGUGAUAUGUGAGUAAAUAGCAGUUAGCUGCAUGGGUUACUGUGGUUUCAAGCUCAACUUUUGUGUUAUCUAGCUGCAGUGCUAGGACUGGUUGUUUCCCAAAGAGAUGAUAUGACCAUGAGUUUAUGGCCUUUUUGAGCUUGAUGUCUUCUGUAUAAGAGAAAUGAAGUCUUCGGCAUGUACACUGUGUAAACAAUCAUUGGAAAGGCGAGAGGAAGAUAAGAGGAGCAUAUAGAAGUUUGUGAUUUGUAUAGGAGGCCUUGUUGGUAUGAUUUAUUUUCCUGAUGGUAUAUUCAUCUCAUUAGGAAGGCCUUGUUGUGUGGCUUUGGUCUUCCUAAAAUUUUCUGUGAUUUUUUCUUUUCUUUUUAGGUUUGUGAAACAAUGACUAUCCUAGCACAAGAUCUAAUCAUGGAAAUUUCCUUAUUGUACAGUUUUCCAUUUUGAAAUAGUAGACCUUUCUCCAUUGUUGAGAUGUUGAUAGGACAAGUUUUCAUUGCUUAUCUUACCAGGACUAAGAUUAGCCUGGAGAAAGUGUGGCUUGCAUGCCAUGUCAUACACAAAUUAUUAAAUUUUCGUUCUUCAUUUUUUGUUCAUGAAUGUUGCACUCCUGGAGGUGAGACUCGGAAUGGGUGCAUAAUGGUCCUGGCUACCGGAGAACUCUUCAAGCUCGUGGUGCGUGCUGUAACUCCCACUGUGGCGCUGUAGUCGAGCCCAUCAAUUCAAAUUCUGAAGAUAACAUGUAGCCUGAAUCCAAGAGGGAACAAAUCCAGUUGUUCCAAGACGCGUUCUUUUUUGUAUAUCUUGUUGACAGUUUGCAUCUCUGCCAUGUUCACUUGGACAAUGCAUAUAUGUAUUACAAGUCCUUCCAA